CAGUAGCCGCGGUAAUGCGUAGGUGGCAAGCGUUGUCCGGAAUUAUUGGGCGUAAAGGACUCGCAGGCGGUUUCUUAAGUCUGAUGUGAAAGCCCCCGGCUCAACCGGGGAGGGUCAUUGGAAACUGGGAAACUUGAGUGCAGAAGAGGAGAGUGGAAUUCCACGUGUAGCGGUGAAAUGCGUAGAGAUGUGGAGGAACACCAGUGGCGAAGGCGACUCUCUGGUCUGUAACUGACGCUGAGGAGCGAAAGCGUGGGGAGCGAACUGGAUUAGAUACCCGAGUAGUCCCUGUCUCUUAUAA
Molecule: ribosomal RNA, 301 nt
Filed under: uncultured bacterium
Lineage: Bacteria
Description: partial 16S ribosomal RNA
Rfam family: Bacterial small subunit ribosomal RNA
Source: RNAcentral